This 347-nucleotide ribosomal RNA is filed under the name uncultured bacterium. Its description in RNAcentral is "bacterial SSU rRNA". It matches the Rfam family "Bacterial small subunit ribosomal RNA", at positions 1 to 334 of the family's 1533-position model. The record is from RNAcentral.
CUACGUAGCUCAGAGUUUGAUCCUGGCUCAGGACGAACGCUGGCGGCGUGCCUAAUACAUGCAAGUAGAACGCUGAGCACUUUAGCUUGCUAGGGUGUGAUGAGUUGCGAACGGGUGAGUAACGCGUAGGUAACCUACCUCAUAGCGGGGGAUAACUAUUGGAAACGAUAGCUAAUACCGCAUAACAAUAGCUGCCGCAUGGCAGCUAUUUGAAAGGAACAAUCGUUUCACUAUGAGAUGGACCUGCGUUGUAUUAGCUAGUUGGUGGGGUAAAGGCCUACCAAGGCGACGAUACAUAGCCGACCUGAGAGGGUGAUCGGCCACACUGGGACUGAGACACGGCCCAG